RNAcentral lists this small RNA (3134 nucleotides) under Arabidopsis thaliana (thale cress). RNAcentral's name for it is "ATSL206990". The record is from RNAcentral. Lineage: Eukaryota; Viridiplantae; Streptophyta; Magnoliopsida; Brassicales; Brassicaceae.
GAAAAAAAAAAAAAAACUGAACCAUGCCUAGACUGCUCUACUCGACCACACUGUCAUGAUCUGAUACCAUUCCCUAUCAAUUUGAACCUGAAUCUGAUCUUUAAUUAUCAUGUCUGCAUCAAAUUUGAACUCAUGGAUACCCUAAAAUACUUGGAUUUUCUUAUUCAUUUUGAUCACUCUUGUUAAUCCAAGUAGCUGACUCUCCUUAUUAGAGCAGUUAACCCAAACCCAAACCUAGACUUUCUUUCAAGCCCUAUAUCACUUGUGAGUGUUUGUGAGGUCUUAUUCCGAUUAAGCUUGGUAGAAAGUGUUAGGUUCGUAACGACAGAGAUAGUGACUCAUGUAGUUCUAGUACGCAUUUUUCGGACUAGAUAGGACUAGGUAGGCGCUUAUACUUUGGGUUGGGAUGUGUUUAAAAGAAAAAAAGGGGUUGAUUCAUUGAUAAGAAAAGGUAAAAGACUCUAGGUGAAGUAAGCUAAAGAAGCAGAAAAAGUCUAGUAAAGGUUUUGGGAUUUGAAAAGAAAAGAAAGAGUUCUUGUUAGCUAUUGAAGAUGGGCAAAAGCCCUUGGUUUUAAAAUGUUAAAAACAGGAACCUUAGUUGUUAAAGAAAUCCAAAUCCGCUAGAUGUAUCAAAGUGUUGAGAAACCUUCUCCUAGAGUUAAGAGAAAAGAAAAGAACGAUUAGAAAAAGGGCUUAAAAGAUUCAUGAAUGCAAAGGGUAGAGUUUAGUUCUUGUAUUGGGAUUGGAGAUGGGAUUACCAUUAGAUCUUCAUUUGAUGUACUCUGGGUAGAUGGGAUCUUAUCUCUGUAUGCAUAGCUUGGGACUUACCUUUAGCAUUCUACUAGAGCUUAAUCAUUUUUUGAGAGAUCCCCUGUUACUGAAGCCUAUUCUGUAAGGGACCAUCUUUGUCUCUUGACCUUUUACCUUAGCCAAAUGAGUUCUUUGAUGAUGCAUUGCUUGAUUCACGUUCCAGAACUAAUGAAUGUUAAAGGGAUUGGUAGAUUUAAAAACUUGUGUAGGUCGAGCAUAUGAGUCGGAUUGAUUGAUUGAUGAGGCAUGGCUAACGUUUUUAAGUAGAAUUCGAUCUUCCAGCUUAGAACUUUCAACUUGGACAUUGAUUUCAUCUGGUCUAUCUGGUGCUUUGGCUCUGAGUCCCCGCUUUCAAACCUCACUUCCAGCUUGUUCUUGAUCGUUUGCUUGAGGGCAAGCAAAGACUAAGUUUGGGGGAGUUGAUAAGUGUGUAUUUUGCAUGUUUUGAGCAUCCAUUUGUCAUCAUUUUAGCAUCAUAUCAUCACUGUUUUAUACCAUUUCACAUCAUUUGUCAUCACUUUGCAUGUUUAGGAUAGUUUUGCAUGCAUGUUGCAUAUUUGCGUUGAUUUCAAGUGAUUUGAAGCUGUUGACGAGCUAUCUGGAAGAAGCGGACCUGAUCAUGACAAACCACUUGACCAAGAGGUCGAGUAGGAGCUUCAAGAUCUCAAGAGACCACUCGACCCCCAGGUCGAGCAGAGGACAUCACCACUUCACUUCACCACUCGACCACGAGGUCGAGUGCCCUCAUCUCCAUCACCAGACCAUCACUCGAUCACAUCACUCGACCAUGAGGUCGAGUGUCUUCACCUCCAUCAUCAGACCACCACUCGACCUCCUCACUCAACUUGGAAGUCGAGUAUCUUCUGACACCACUCGAUCACAUCACUCGACCCCCAGGCCGAGUGACUUCAUCCCAUUGCUAGAUCUCUACUCGACCUCAUCACUCUACCUGGAUGUCGAGUAUCACCAUCACUCGACUGCAUACUCGUGACAAGCUUUAGAGCCUUCUUCAUUCCGCACUCAACCAGACACUCGAGCACAAGGAAGAAAAAAAGACUCCAGCUAUUCACUCGACCUCUCACUCGACCACGUGGGUCGAGUACAGUUCUUAACCCGUCCCAAUACUUCGUCGUUUUGAGUAUUAGGGUUUCGGGAUAUUUGGCUAUAAGUAGCAUGUACUUCUCAUUUUCGCAGAGAGGAAGUUUUUAUCUAGUUUUAUUUCCGCAGACCUUGUGUGCUAGACUUUUUGUAAUCCGGAUUUCUCUUUAUCUAUUCAGUAUUCAGUAUUCAGUUUCUGUUCUUGAUUUCGUUUACUGUUGUUCAUUCUGUUAUCAUCCUGCUGUUACACUGUUGUUAUCAUGUUUUCAACUUGUUCAACGUUUAUGCUUUCUGUUAUGAUGUCUGAGUAGUGAAUAGGUUUCUGAGGAUGGGUUAGAGUAGUGUAGAAUUCUCAGUAUGCUAGGUGAUUGAGUAUUGGUUGAUAGAUCCCUUCUGGAUUAGUUGUUCUUAAUGCCUAUUGCUUUCUGAUUAACUGGAAUUUGAGCCCAGACAUUUCCGCGCCCAAAAGGUGUUCGAUGAAAUGUCUGAACCACUAAUUCCAGAGAUUCGUGACCCUGUACCAAGGUAUUAGUUGCAGGGAGCGUUUUGGCUUUAACUUAUUGAUUCGUAAUGCUUGUUAGGUUAGCUCUCGUCAAUGGUGAUUGAGUCUGGGACUAGGUUAAUUUGAGAGUCUCUGUUGCGGUGGCACUUAGAUUUGGUUAAUGAACUUGUUGUGUAGGGUUAAUUUAUUGAGCAUGUCAAUCACCUGUAAACUGAGGAAACGAAACUACUCAAUUACCCCAUCCUUAGGAAUUCUUUAUCGAUUGAUUUUAUUGUUUACUCUACUGUUGAUUACUGCAUCUGGUCAUUUGUUCCUUAGUUUCUGCAUUUCUUUCCUGUUAGUCGACCUGAUACUCGACCACCCAGUUAUCGAGUAUCCCUGUUUCACUUUCUGCCUGUUACUCGACCUGUCACUCGACCUCAUCCAGUGCUCUACACAGAGCUGUGUUGGUCGAGUGUUUUGCUGUUUCUGUUUGAUUUUCUGUUUUCUGCAUGUUCACUUAGAACUGCUAGAACACACCAAAACCUGUUAUUGCUUGGCUUGACUUAGUGACUUCUGAUCACAUCUUGAUUGUUAGCAUCACACCCAUUUGGAUUGACAACCUAAAAUACUACAACGAUAUGAUUGGUGUUUUAGGAUAAUUGACUAAAAACCUAUUAUCAAUAAGCGCACGAUUGCAACCCUUGGACCUUUAGGUAGCAACCCUCUAAGAGCAAUAGGCAGA